This 466-nucleotide ribosomal RNA is filed under the name Salmonella enterica subsp. enterica serovar Lansing. Its description in RNAcentral is "bacterial SSU rRNA". It matches the Rfam family "Bacterial small subunit ribosomal RNA", at positions 52 to 507 of the family's 1533-position model. Lineage: Bacteria; Pseudomonadati; Pseudomonadota; Gammaproteobacteria; Enterobacterales; Enterobacteriaceae. The record is from RNAcentral.
CACAUGCAAGUCGAACGGUAACAGGAAGCAGCUUGCUGCUUCGCUGACGAGUGGCGGACGGGUGAGUAAUGUCUGGGAAACUGCCUGAUGGAGGGGGAUAACUACUGGAAACGGUGGCUAAUACCGCAUAACGUCGCAAGACCAAAGAGGGGGACCUUCGGGCCUCUUGCCAUCAGAUGUGCCCAGAUGGGAUUAGCUWGUUGGUGAGGUAACGGCUCACCAAGGCGACGAUCCCUAGCUGGUCUGAGAGGAUGACCAGCCACACUGGAACUGAGACACGGUCCAGACUCCUACGGGAGGCAGCAGUGGGGAAUAUUGCACAAUGGGCGCAAGCCUGAUGCAGCCAUGCCGCGUGUAUGAAGAAGGCCUUMGGGUUGUAAAGUACUUUCAGCGGGGAGGAAGGUGUUGYGGUUAAUAACCRCAGCAAUUGACGUUACCCGCAGAAGAAGCACCGGCUAACUCCGUG